AUUGAACGCUGGCGGCAGGCUUAACACAUGCAAGUCGAACGGUAACAGGAAGAUGCUUGCUUCUUUGCUGACGAGUGGCGGACGGGUGAGUCAUGUCUAGGAAACCGCCUGCUGGAGGGGGAUAACUACAGGAAACGGUAGCUACUACCGCAUAACGUCGCAAGCCCAAAAAGGGGGACCUUCUGGCCUCUUGCCAUCGGAUGCGCCCAGAUGGGAUGAGCUUGUAGGUGGGGUAAUCGUACCCCUUGGUGACGAGCCCUAGCUGAUCUGAGAGGAUGACCGGCCACACGAGAACUGGAACACGGUCCAGACUCCUACGGGAGGCAGCAGUGGGGUAUAUUGGGCAGUGGGCGCGAGCAUGAUGCAGCCAUGCGGCGUGUAUUGAGGAGGCGUUGCGGUUGUGAAGUACUUUCAGCGGGGAGAAAGGGAGUCAAGUUAAGACGAAGGGUCAUUGACGUUACCCGGAGAAGAAGCACCGGCUAACUCCGUG
Molecule: ribosomal RNA, 490 nt
Filed under: uncultured bacterium
Lineage: Bacteria
Description: partial 16S ribosomal RNA
Rfam family: Bacterial small subunit ribosomal RNA
Source: RNAcentral